This 24-nucleotide non-coding RNA is filed under the name Arabidopsis thaliana (thale cress). Lineage: Eukaryota; Viridiplantae; Streptophyta; Magnoliopsida; Brassicales; Brassicaceae. The record is from RNAcentral.
CGACCAAUUUAUGAUUCUAUUCUC